Molecule: ribosomal RNA, 253 nt
Filed under: uncultured bacterium
Lineage: Bacteria
Description: partial 16S ribosomal RNA
Rfam family: Bacterial small subunit ribosomal RNA
Source: RNAcentral
UACAGAGGGUGCGAGCGUUAAUCGGAAUUACUGGGCGUAAAGCGCACGUAGUCGGCUUGCCAAGUCGGGUGUGAAAUCCCCGGGCUCAACCUGGGAACUGCAUCCGAAACUGGCUUGCUAGAGUAUGGGAGAGGGAGGCGGAAUUUCUGGUGUAGCAGUGAAAUGCGUAGAUACCAGAAGGAACAUCAGUGGCGAAGGCGGCCUCCUGGACCAAUACUGACGAUCAGGUGCGAAGGCCAGGGUAGCGAAAGGG